Molecule: small nucleolar RNA, 92 nt
Organism: Myripristis murdjan (pinecone soldierfish)
Lineage: Eukaryota; Metazoa; Chordata; Actinopteri; Holocentriformes; Holocentridae
Source: Ensembl
CGUCUCCCCUGAUGAUUCGCACUGGGCUCUGAGUCCUUAUGGUGACAAAAGUGCAUCUCUGGCCCUGACAAGCCAGAGUCUCUGAGGAGAAA